RNAcentral lists this transfer RNA (37 nucleotides) under Bassia hyssopifolia. RNAcentral's name for it is "partial tRNA-Leu". The record is from RNAcentral. RNAcentral also lists the same sequence under 4 other names. Lineage: Eukaryota; Viridiplantae; Streptophyta; Magnoliopsida; Caryophyllales; Amaranthaceae.
AAAAUCCGUCGACUUUAAAAAUCGUGAGGGUUCAAGU